RNA transcript from Propithecus coquereli (Coquerel's sifaka), 406 nucleotides. It is a transcript of the gene named T-cell receptor alpha chain V region 2B4-like, with no coding region annotated. Lineage: Eukaryota; Metazoa; Chordata; Mammalia; Primates; Indriidae. The transcript is spliced from 2 exons. The record is from RefSeq and is a predicted model, not a curated record.
CAGAAACCAGGGAUGCAGGGCCAGGCUCGUGGGGUGCUGCAGCAGAUGUGGGGAUUUUUCCUUCUUUAUGUUUCCCUGAAGAUGGGAGGCAUUGCAGGACAAAGCAUUGAGCAGCCCAGUGAGUUGACAGCUGUGGAAGGAGCCUUCAUCCAGGUCAACCUCAUCUAUCGGACAUCUGGGUUCAAUGGAUUGUCCUGGUACCAGCAAUAUGACGGCAGAGCACCCAUAUUUCUCUCUUAACGGUGUUCUGGAUGGUUUGGAGGGGAGAGGUCAUUUUUCUUCAUUCCUUAAUCGCUCUGCUGGGUACAGUUACUUCCUUCUGAAGGAGCUCCAGAUGAAAGACUCUGCCUCUUACCUCUGUGCCGUGAGAGACACAGUGAUUAUGCAGCCUCUUCAGCUGCACUGA